UAGAGUUUGAUCCUGGCUCACCUUGAACGCUGGCGGCAGGCCUAACACAUGCAAGUCGAGCGGAUGAGAAGAGCUUGCUCUUCGAUUCAGCGGCGGACGGGUGAGUAAUGCCUAGGAAUCUGCCUGGUAGUGGGGGACAACNNNNNNNNAGGAACGCUAAUACCGCAUACGUCCUACGGGAGAAAGCAGGGGACCUUCGGGCCUUGCGCUAUCAGAUGAGCCUAGGUCGGAUUAGCUAGUUGGUGAGGUAAUGGCUCACCAAGGCGACGAUCCGUAACUGGUCUGAGAGGAUGAUCAGUCACACUGGAACUGAGACACGGUCCAGACUCCUACGGGAGGCAGCAGUGGGGAAUAUUGGACAAUGGGCGAAAGCCUGAUCCAGCCAUGCCGCGUGUGUGAAGAAGGUCUUCGGAUUGUAAAGCACUUUAAGUUGGGAGGAAGGGUUGUACGUUAAUACCGUGCAAUUUUGACGUUACCGACAGAAUAAGCACCGGCUAACUCUGUGCCAGCAGCCGCGGUAAUACAGAGGGUGCAAGCGUUAAUCGGAAUUGCUGGGCGUAAAGCGCGCGUAGGUGGUUCGUUAAGUUGGAUGUGAAAUCCCCGGGCUCAACCUGGGAACUGCAUCCAAAACUGGCGAGCUAGAGUAUGGUAGAGGGUGGUGGAAUUUCCUGUGUAGCGGUGAAAUGCGUAGAUAUAGGAAGGAACACCAGUGGCGAAGGCGACCACCUGGACUGAUACUGACACUGAGGUGCGAAAGCGUGGGGAGCAAACA
This 772-nucleotide ribosomal RNA is filed under the name bacterium enrichment culture clone PF-1_1. Its description in RNAcentral is "bacterial SSU rRNA". It matches the Rfam family "Bacterial small subunit ribosomal RNA", at positions 1 to 774 of the family's 1533-position model. The record is from RNAcentral.